GAGGGGCUCACCUUUCUGGCCGCUGAGCGCCGCGUACCAGGAGAGCGAGAAGAAGGCGCACAGGCAGAAGAGCAGCAGCGUCAGGACGGCGCCAUUGCGGAGCCUCAUCUCCUCAGAUCCCGAUGUGCCUGAGACUGUAUGUGUGCCCUCCAAGAGUGAAGUUUCUGUUUUCUCCAGUCCUGUGGAAGUCCUGCAAUCAAAUCCCACUGAAUGUCAAAGCCAGAUUCUCUAGGGAUUCCUCUUCCCAUUGACAGACACCGCACCCACCCCCCCAACCGGCUGGGAAGCCUGAUGUGGUGUUCAAAACUUUCAUUCCAGUGGGAGAACUUCUGAGGCUGGAUUGCUCCUGCCAUGAUCUUUAUUUUGAAGUACCUGUCCACCAGGGUCCAUCUGUCUCCUGCCCCAGGAUGGGGAGCGAUGUGGCUGGAUCUGGCUUUGCCACCAGCUGGGAUAAGCUUUACAGGAACACUGUGAUCUGACUUAUGUGGACCAAGAAGUUUGCAACAACCAACCAAGCCCCUCCCUCAUCUUGCCUUUAAAAAUGCUUUGCUGCAACCCUUUGGGGAGUCCCAGGUUUGAGGGGGACAAGCCGCCCUUUAUCCUCAUGUGACGCUGCAAUAAACCUUUCCUGGCUUCAAACUCCGAUGUUUUGGCCUGUGUGGCCUCACUGCAUCAGGCACACAAACUUGCUCUUCAGUAACAGGUUGACUCUUUUCACCUGAUAACCCAAGGAGACAUUGUCACAAAACUUGCAAAUAGUCUCCUAAGGACCCAAGGGAGGAGACAGAUGGGCCCCCGGGCUAGACAGGUGGUGUUCGUCAAGUGGAGUAAAACUGAAGCUUUGUUCUCACCCAGAGACUCCAAGGACAAAGCUAGUGGCGAAAGCUGAGCUCUACUAAAAUAAAGAGGUAAGGUACCAACUCCUAAGGUCAAGGAAGACUUCCCUGUCUGCACACGCACAGGAAGGCUUCUUGAGGAUCGAAGAGGGAGUGGGCCUCACUCCACAGGAAGUGUGGACAGGCAUGCACCCAUUGGCCUCUGUGGUGGGAUCCAUCUUAGAAAAAAGUGCACACAUAUUUAGGGGAAGGUCUUAGGGCAAUCGGGUGUAAAGAAAGAAAUGAUAAAGGUCAAAGGUAAACAAAGACCUGGAAGGAUUGUCCUGUGUCUAAGUGAUUUAAAUCACCUUUUUACUGCGCUCCUCAUUUAGGACAUCCACUCCCUUCACAGGAUAUAUUAUCUUGGCCUAGCUUCUGACACUGUGGCCCUCCCCGUUAGAGGGAACGCCCAUAUCCUGUCUCUCUGGGUGCCUAUUUCUGCCCUGCUUCUCUUAACCGUCUCUGUGUGCUCUCUCCUACACUGUGCUGUGUCUCUGAUAAUAAACUUUGUAUCUGCUUUUACAGUUUUUGCCUCCUUGAAACCUUGCUUUCAGAUAAGAGGGGAGAGCCAGGGAACUUUCCUUCUAGCCUCUAUCCCCUGGUGGUCCAGUGACUA
Molecule: long non-coding RNA, 1491 nt
Organism: Budorcas taxicolor (takin)
Lineage: Eukaryota; Metazoa; Chordata; Mammalia; Artiodactyla; Bovidae
Exons: 4
Source: RefSeq, a predicted model, not a curated record